UGUGUGGCGGAAUUGGUAGACGCGCUGGACUCAAAAUCCAGUGAUUCUUGAAUCGUGUGGGUUCGAUUCCCACCACA
This 77-nucleotide transfer RNA is filed under the name chicken gut metagenome. It matches the Rfam family "tRNA". From Rfam's summary of the family: Transfer RNA (tRNA) molecules are approximately 80 nucleotides in length. Their secondary structure includes four short double-helical elements and three loops (D, anti-codon, and T loops). Further hydrogen bonds mediate the characteristic L-shaped molecular structure. tRNAs have two regions of fundamental functional importance: the anti-codon, which is responsible for specific mRNA codon recognition, and the 3' end, to which the tRNAs corresponding amino acid is attached (by aminoacyl-tRNA synthetases). tRNAs cope with the degeneracy of the genetic code in two manners: having more than one tRNA (with a specific anti-codon) for a particular amino acid; and 'wobble' base-pairing, i.e. permitting non-standard base-pairing at the 3rd anti-codon position. The record is from RNAcentral.